ACAUUAGAUUCAUCCUUUUGAUCUUUUUAUUGAAACAGUACACAUUAUAUCCAUCAAUUACAAUGGUCAAAACACCCACUUCUUCAGGGAGAAGUAGAGUGGCCUAAUCUUUAAAGGCUCAGCAAAAGUAAAGAGAUGCUAUCAUGCUAGCUAUUGGUAUCUCUUAAAGUGUCCUCUACACCAAACAGUUAGUACACAAAUUGUUAAAUUCUAAUCUGAAACAGCCAGGGCCAAGACUCUGUGAAGAAAAAGAUCACAUUGGAUUGCCAACAUCUAAUACCAGCUUCUAACAUGCUUUUAUUUUUUUGUUCUCAAAGAAAUACCAGGUAUCAAUAAAAAGUAAGCCAAAACCAAAAAGAAAAGAAAUUGGGAUCAGCACAAAAACUUCUCAAAGGUCAUGAGAAGUUAACAAAUGAAACAACAAUUUAAACUGGACAAAAUUUUGGAAGAUAAUACAAUAUCCUGCAGAACUUGUAUAGGGAAAUAAACAAUUCCCAAACUUCAACUCGUAAUAAAAAGAUCAAAUCCAAAUACAAGCAUUAUGUAAGUAAAGACAAAAA
This 560-nucleotide unclassified non-coding RNA is filed under the name Hevea brasiliensis (rubber tree). The record is from RNAcentral. Lineage: Eukaryota; Viridiplantae; Streptophyta; Magnoliopsida; Malpighiales; Euphorbiaceae.